RNAcentral lists this ribosomal RNA (962 nucleotides) under Psychrobacter sp. RNAcentral's name for it is "bacterial SSU rRNA". It matches the Rfam family "Bacterial small subunit ribosomal RNA", at positions 503 to 1464 of the family's 1533-position model. Lineage: Bacteria; Pseudomonadati; Pseudomonadota; Gammaproteobacteria; Moraxellales; Moraxellaceae. The record is from RNAcentral.
CUGUGCCAGCAGCCGCGGUAAUACAGAGGGUGCAAGCGUUAAUCGGAAUUACUGGGCGUAAAGCGAGCGUAGGUGGCUUGAUAAGUCAGAUGUGAAAUCCCCGGGCUUACCCUGGGAACUGCAUCUGAAACUGUUAGGCUAGAGUAGGUGAGAGGGAAGUAGAAUUUCAGGUGUAGCGGUGAAAUGCGUAGAGAUCUGAAGGAAUACCGAUGGCGAAGGCAGCUUCCUGGCAUCAUACUGACACUGAGGCUCGAAAGCGUGGGUAGCAAACAGGAUUAGAUACCCUGGUAGUCCACGCCGUAAACGAUGUCUACUAGUCGUUGGGUCCCUUGAGGACUUAGUGACGCAGCUAACGCAAUAAGUAGACCGCCUGGGGAGUACGGCCGCAAGGUUAAAACUCAAAUGAAUUGACGGGGGCCCGCACAAGCGGUGGAGCAUGUGGUUUAAUUCGAUGCAACGCGAAGAACCUUACCUGGUCUUGACAUAUCUAGAAUCCUGCAGAGAUGCGGGAGUGCCUUCGGGAAUUAGAAUACAGGUGCUGCAUGGCUGUCGUCAGCUCGUGUCGUGAGAUGUUGGGUUAAGUCCCGCAACGAGCGCAACCCUUGUCCUUAGUUACCAGCGGGUUAAGCCGGGAACUCUAAGGAUACUGCCAGUGACAAACUGGAGGAAGGCGGGGACGACGUCAAGUCAUCAUGGCCCUUACGACCAGGGCUACACACGUGCUACAAUGGUAGGUACAGAGGGCAGCUACACAGCGAUGUGAUGCGAAUCUCAAAAAGCCUAUCGUAGUCCAGAUUGGAGUCUGCAACUCGACUCCAUGAAGUAGGAAUCGCUAGUAAUCGCGGAUCAGAAUGCCGCGGUGAAUACGUUCCCGGGCCUUGUACACACCGCCCGUCACACCAUGGGAGUUGAUUGCACCAGAAGUGGAUAGCUUAACCUUCGGGGAGGCGUUCACCACGGUG